Molecule: long non-coding RNA, 673 nt
Organism: Cloeon dipterum
Lineage: Eukaryota; Metazoa; Arthropoda; Insecta; Ephemeroptera; Baetidae
Exons: 4
Source: RefSeq, a predicted model, not a curated record
GCGUCAAUUGUUCCAGCGUUUCCAAAAAGAAUUGCUUAAACGACAGCAUUAACCACGUCGAUGGAAACUGUCUGUUAGGUUGCGCAGAAGGAUUUCUUCCCCCGCAGUGUGAAACAGUUCUGGAUUACCAUGGCGCGGACGAGUACUUGUUUGAAAUAAGGCGUGGAGGGAAUUUGGAGGCGUGCGUCUCAGAUGAACCGACGCUAGCGUUUGUGCCAGAUAAUAUUGAAAACAAAUCAGAUUCCACGAGUGUGAAUAUCAAGGAUUUGAACGGAAACGCAAUUGUUAUCUCAGAAUUCGACUGCAAUUUGUUGCGGAAAAAUGGUUGCAAUUCAUGGGAACUGAAUGAUUUUGAGCUUUUCAAUACGGAUAACGAGUCAAACUCCUUCCCAAUUGUCACUGAUUACCGAUGGAGUGACCUGCCAGUCGCCUUCACAAACGGGAGUUUUAAGGAUAAAAUCAGUUUCUCGAAUCAUCACAAUUUCAGGAAACAUUUUUCGAUUUUGGCAAAGAACUCGGCACAAUUCCUCUUAACAGAUGACUCAACUUUAAAGAAAGGGAAUACCGUUGUCCUCGAUGGAUGGAGAGACUCACAUUCUUCUGUUUUGAGAAACUGCACCAACAUACCUGACUAUAUAAAAAAUUCGAAAAAUUUUCCUACUUGUACGAGCCC